Molecule: long non-coding RNA, 173 nt
Organism: Cyprinus carpio (common carp)
Lineage: Eukaryota; Metazoa; Chordata; Actinopteri; Cypriniformes; Cyprinidae
Exons: 3
Source: RefSeq, a predicted model, not a curated record
CACAAGGCAUACCGGAGAGAGAAGGAUGUACUCAUUUGGAAAUAUGCUGACACGAUGCGAGUGUGCCAGCCCUGUCAUGAGAACUGCACCCAGGGAUGUACUGGACCUGAUCUGAAGGACUGCAAAGAUUUCAAAGGUUCGGGUUUGCCCAUGAUAGCUGCUGGUGUGGUCGG